This 219-nucleotide long non-coding RNA is filed under the name Elaeis guineensis (African oil palm). RNAcentral's name for it is "long non-coding RNA (EGUI_LNC070267)". Lineage: Eukaryota; Viridiplantae; Streptophyta; Magnoliopsida; Arecales; Arecaceae. The record is from RNAcentral.
GAGUAUAUUUUACUAAAUGCGAUCCACUUCAGAGCACUCUGCUAUCAAGAGUCACUCUGAAGGGAUAUGGAUAUAAGUAUCUCUCUGAUCUGAAAUCACCAUGGUGACUUGCAAACAACUCAUUAUGCUUUGGUGUCGGACUACCUGAAUUUCUAAUUCAGAAUCGGAAGGUUUUUGGGCACAGUCAAGUACUUGUGAAGUCAGUGCAUGAGUCAAGAU